GAUAUGGUCAAUAGCCUAACGGCUGAACCAGCAACUUGGAGGAUAUAAAGCAAUAGCUGAUUGCAUUUAAAUGUAGUUACUACUUGGUAGUUUAAAGUUCUAGGUAGAAUUAUGAUGAUGACAUUAUCUAUCUAUUAGUCUUGACCAAAUUACGUGCCAGCAGUCGCGGCAAUACGUAGAAGACAAGUGUUAUUCAUCUUUAUUAGGUUUAAAGAGUACCAAGACGGUUAAUAAAGCCCAAAAUAAAUGAAUACGGGGGACACAUUAACUAGAGUUAUAUGAAAUGAAGCUAUAAGGUACUGUUGAGUGUAGAGAUGAAAUUUAAUGAUACCAGAUGAUUGGCACAGAUUAAUGCGAAGGCAUCUUCUUAUGUAAUAACUGACGUUGUAGGACGAAGGCUUUGGGUGUGAACAGGAUUAGGUACCCCAGUAAUCUUGGCAGAAAAUGAUGAAUGUCAUAGGUAUUAUUGGGUCUAUAAAUGAAAGUGUAAGCAUUCCACCUCAAGAGUAAUUUGGCAACAUUGGAACUGAAAUCAUUAGACCGUUUCUGAAACCAGUAGUGAAGUAUGUUGUUUAAUUAGAUGAUACACAAGAACCUUACCACAAUCUGAAUAUAUAUAAAUUAUAUUUACAAGCGCUGCACGGCUGUCUACAGUUAAUGUCGUGAGAUUUUGGUUAGCUCCAUAAAAUUGACGUAAACCCUAAUUUUAUUUAUAAAUAUAAUUAACAUCGCUAUAUAUGAUGUUUUAAGAGGGAACAUGACAAGUCAUCAUGG
RNAcentral lists this ribosomal RNA (774 nucleotides) under Sticta harrisii. Its description in RNAcentral is "SSU rRNA". It matches the Rfam family "Bacterial small subunit ribosomal RNA", at positions 359 to 1198 of the family's 1533-position model. Lineage: Eukaryota; Fungi; Ascomycota; Lecanoromycetes; Peltigerales; Lobariaceae. The record is from RNAcentral.